This 554-nucleotide long non-coding RNA is filed under the name Apteryx rowi (Okarito brown kiwi). Its description in RNAcentral is "lncRNA (ENSARWG00000017716.1)". The record is from RNAcentral. Lineage: Eukaryota; Metazoa; Chordata; Aves; Apterygiformes; Apterygidae.
CUCUUUCGUCUGCCCAAGGAGGCUGUGAAGUGCCAUCGUAGAGGCCUGGGUGACACCACAGCUCCGGGGACGGCUGGGAGGGGAGGAAGCACUGGCGGGCGAGCUGGCGUGGAGACUUGCCCUGGUGUAUGGUCAGCAUUUUGGAGCUUGAAUUGAUCCUCAGUGGAGUGUUUUCCUCGUUUUUUGUCUGUUGUAGCCUGUGCAGUGUACAGCUAACUGUCUGCUGCCAUGCUGCCUGUGAAAGAUGUAUUUUUGGAAGGGAGGCUGGGCUAAGGGGACAACUGAUGGGAGGGAGAAAACACUUGGCCUGUGCUGGGCUGAGGAUCUUGGAGAUGGGUGCAUUGGCCAAAGCUGGAGUUUGUCUUUAUGUAACUUCUAAGUGGAGAGAAGCAGGACUGAGAUGGUUUACAGCUCCCAGUCUGAGGCAAGAACCAGUGUGUGAAAACACUGGAUUCUCUGCGGCGGUAACGGCCACCUUCCCCUGUGCUCAAACACAUAGGAAGUGUGGUUGGCCCGAACUCUUGUGGGUACCGAUGGCAGGAUGUGCCCCGUGA